UAUGGUAACUAAUCAUUUAAAUAGUAACUUACAUACAUGUAGUUACUUAUCCUAUGGUAACUAAUCAUUUUAAAUAGUAACUUAUACACAUGUGGUUACUUAUCCUAUGGUAACUUUUAGCAACAUUUACUACGUACACACGGCCUUCGAAUCAGCCGCCAUGAGUCAAACGCACAAAUACAAAGUCCUGCUGGACCCUUCAUUUCUAAGCCAUAUUAUCACAGAGAAGAACACGUGUGAGUAGGACUACUCUUAUCCUAGAUCAACUCAUUCUAUCUGUAAAGGAGUAGAGUUUCAGCCAAGUGUUCUGGAACCGACCUGAUAAGUGAAGAUUUUAAUAUAUAGGUUCCUUCAUUAUUAUGGUUGAAAAAUUCUGGGAACUUUUCAAAAUUCUCAGUUUAUCCAGUAAUGUUCCUGUAAUCAAUAGGGGGGAAAGCAGGGCAUCCUGAAUCCCCAACAAUGACCUGUUGGAAAACUUGGCAUUUUUGGGAAGUUAGGGGAAUUUUGGAUCCUUGUAAUCGAUUACUUGGCAGGAUAUCCCCCUCAUAUAGACUAACCAACUACCACCCAGAACGGCACCCUAUAGAACCUAUAGGUAGAAACUACCACCCAGAACGGCACCCUAUAGAACCUAUAGGUAGAAACUACCACCCAGAACGGCACCCUAUAGAACCUAUAGGUAGAAACUACCACCCAGAACGGCACCCUAUAGAACCUAUAGGUAGAAACUGCCACCCAGAAUGGCACCCUAUAGAACCUAUAAGUAGAAACUGCCACCCAGAACGGCACCCUAUAGAACCUAUAGGUAGAAACUGCCACCCAGAACGGCACCCUAUAGAACCUAUAGGUAGAAACUGCCACCCAGAACGGCACCCUAUAGAACCUAUAGGUAGAAACUGCCACCCAGAACGGCACCCUAUAGAACCUAUAGGUAGAAACUGCCACCCAGAACGGCACCCUAUAGAACCUAUAGGUAGAAACUGCCACCCAGAAUGGCACCCUAUAGAACCUAUAAGUAGAAACUGCCACCCAGAACGGCACCCUAUAGAACCUAUAGGUAGAAACUGCCACCCAGAACGGCACCCUAUAGAACCUAUAGGUAGAAACAACAUACUACAACAUACUGAAUACACAAGUAGCGAACAACGUUUUGAAUAUGUUAACAAUUAACUUAAAGGGGAAGUUCACUAUUUUACAACUUUGUCAGAUGGCUUCUCAUCCUGAAAGUAGUCUAUGGGCCAGAAGAAACCUAUCAAUGCUUCAGGGCUUUUUAAACAGCCACUACAAACGUCAGCCAACUUUAGCCACCGCUAGCUCCUAAAAUACUGAACGUCCCCUUUAAAGGAGUUGCUGAGAGAAAAGAGAACUGAAUGUAGGAGUGUUUCCUGCCGUAUGCCAUGUUUGGGAGUGGAAACCAAAGACUGAAAGAACUGGGGAUGGGUGAAUUUGAUGUGAUGAAAAUGAGGAAAAGCUAGAGAAGAGGAUUGAUCUGUAUUGAAAGAGAAACUUCUUCCUGUAUUACUUUGUGAAUUGUAAAUAAAUAGUGGCUAACGGGCAGCGCCACGCAGAAGCAGGGUCUUCUCUUGGGACUGCUGCCCCCACGUGCUGGAGACAAAUUAUCCAUUA
Long non-coding RNA from Oncorhynchus keta (chum salmon), 1626 nucleotides. RefSeq lists it as uncharacterized. Lineage: Eukaryota; Metazoa; Chordata; Actinopteri; Salmoniformes; Salmonidae. The record is from RefSeq and is a predicted model, not a curated record. The transcript is spliced from 2 exons.